This 1024-nucleotide long non-coding RNA is filed under the name Anas platyrhynchos platyrhynchos (common mallard). RNAcentral's name for it is "lncRNA (ENSAPLG00000025829.1)". The record is from RNAcentral. Lineage: Eukaryota; Metazoa; Chordata; Aves; Anseriformes; Anatidae.
AUGCUGGGGCAGGCACCAUGGGCAAGGCUGUCUCCUUCUGGCCCUGCCGUCCUGCUGCUGGCACUCUGUGCUGGUGUCAUGACUCAGGACCUCUGCAGAUCCCCAGGUGACCUCCUGGCUCCUGCCCUCAUGUUGAACACCUUCAGUGCCCAGGAGAGACAAAUGGUUUUGGUUCAGUGUGCCAUUGAUGGGCGUUCUCCUGUUACAAGAAUUGUCUUCUGCAAGGAUGGGGUGGAAACAUCCAGCCUGAAGGCCAUUCGGGGGCAGCUGACCUACAACGUGAUCCUGAAUGUCUCACUGGGAAGCGCGGGCAAGUACACGUGUGGGUACCAGCUCAAGGAUCAGAGCAACCAAGUGAAGAACUCUGCCCUCAGUGUCCCUCAGGACUUGGAAAUCACAGCUCCACAUGCCCGGAUCCCGCACACCCUCCCCACAGGCACAGCGCUGGCAGUGGCGGCCGUCGGCCUCGUCCUCCUGUCUGCAGGCAGCUGGUUUGUCAUCAGGAAAGGUGAGGGAGUGGGGGAAGGCAGGGGGGGAAGGAUGAGUCUGUGGGGGUCCUGCUGCGGGGCUGGUGCAGUGGGAAAUGUGGUGGGGGGAACCUGGGGGUGCACAGCUGGGGCAGACGGUGCCUGGGGGCGAUGGCUGUGGGCAGCCCAGCUGGGGAGGCUGCUGAGGGAGCUGGGGAGCUUCAGCCUUCAUCCCCCAGCCCCGAGAUGGGAGCCAGGGCUGGGCAGCACCUUGGCCUGCGCACCUCAGCCCCUGUUCUUCUUGCAGGUGUCUGCAGAGGGAGAUGCCCAAGUGGUGCUGCAGACCUUCAGGACAUUUUUUCCCUCCUCUCUCUGUGCGUCUCCAUGGUGCUGGUAGUGCUCAAGACUCUUCUGCUGACCCCAGCCAUUUCUAUGCCAACGUGGAUGAGAUGGGCAGAGUGAAGGUGAGUUCAGACCAAGCACAGCCUUGCAGGCUGAGCGUGCACGUGAUGGUUGCGAGAGGGCAGGCUGUUGGAGAGCAAAUGCAAGCCAAAAGU